RNAcentral lists this ribosomal RNA (253 nucleotides) under uncultured bacterium. RNAcentral describes it as "partial 16S ribosomal RNA". It matches the Rfam family "Bacterial small subunit ribosomal RNA", at positions 524 to 776 of the family's 1533-position model. The record is from RNAcentral.
UACAGAGGGUGCAAGCGUUGUUCGGAAUUAUUGGGCGUAAAGCGUGCGCAGGCGGUUGCUGAAGUCCGUUGUGAAAGCCCCGGGCUUAACCUGGGAAUGGCAGUGGAAACUAGGCGACUUGAAUCUGGCAGAGGGGGGUGGAAUUCCGCGUGUAGCAGUGAAAUGCGUAGAGAUGCGGAGGAACACCGAUGGCGAAGGCAGCCCCCUGGGCUAACACUGACGCUCAGGCACGAAAGCGUGGGGAGCAAACAGG